AUUGAACGCUGGCGGCAGGCUUAACACAUGCAAGUCGAGCGGGGUGAUGGUGCUUGCACUAUCACUUAGCGGCGGACGGGUGAGUAAUGCUUAGGAAUCUGCCUAUUAGUGGGGGACAACAUCUCGAAAGGGAUGCUAAUACCGCAUACGUCCUACGGGAGAAAGCAGGGGAUCACUUGUGACCUUGCGCUAAUAGAUGAGCCUAAGGCGGAUUAGCUAGUUGGUGGGGUAAAGGCCUACCAAGGCGACGAUCUGUAGCGGGUCGGAGGGGAUGAUCCGACACACUGGGACUGGGACACGGCCCAGACUCCGACGGGAGGCAGCAGUGGGGAAUAUUGGGCAAUGGGGGGAACCCUGAUCCAGCCAUGCCGCGUGUGUGAAGAAGGCCCUAUGGUUGUAAAGCACUUUAAGCGAGGAGGAGGCUCUUUUGGUUAAUACCCAAGAUGAGUGGACGUUACUCGCAGAAUAAGCACCGGCUAACUCUGUGCCAGCCGCCGCGGUAA
This 503-nucleotide ribosomal RNA is filed under the name uncultured bacterium. RNAcentral's name for it is "partial 16S ribosomal RNA". It matches the Rfam family "Bacterial small subunit ribosomal RNA", at positions 30 to 523 of the family's 1533-position model. The record is from RNAcentral.